Scophthalmus maximus (turbot) is the source of this 120-nucleotide ribosomal RNA. NCBI's taxonomy places the organism in Eukaryota, Metazoa, Chordata, Actinopteri, Pleuronectiformes, Scophthalmidae. The record is from Ensembl.
CUUAAUGGCCACACCGCCUGGUUCACGUCCGAUCUCGUUUGAUCUCGGGAAGCUAAAAUAGGUUGGGCCUGGUUAGUACUUGGAUGGGAGACCGCCUGGGAAUACCAGGUGCUGUAAGGG